Molecule: ribosomal RNA, 1585 nt
Filed under: Serratia marcescens
Lineage: Bacteria; Pseudomonadati; Pseudomonadota; Gammaproteobacteria; Enterobacterales; Yersiniaceae
Description: partial 23S ribosomal RNA
Rfam family: Bacterial large subunit ribosomal RNA
Source: RNAcentral
AACCGUAUAGGGGAGCCGUAGGGAAACCGAGUCUUAACUGGGCGACUAGUUGCAAGGUAUAGACCCGAAACCCGGUGAUCUAGCCAUGGGCAGGUUGAAGGUUGGGUAACACUAACUGGAGGACCGAACCGACUAAUGUUGAAAAAUUAGCGGAUGACUUGUGGCUGGGGGUGAAAGGCCAAUCAAACCGGGAGAUAGCUGGUUCUCCCCGAAAGCUAUUUAGGUAGCGCCUCGUGAACUCAUCUUCGGGGGUAGAGCACUGUUUCGGCUAGGGGGCCAUCCCGGCUUACCAAACCGAUGCAAACUCCGAAUACCGAAGAAUGUUAUCACGGGAGACACACGGCGGGUGCUAACGUCCGUCGUGAAGAGGGAAACAACCCAGACCGCCAGCUAAGGUCCCAAAGUCAUGGUUAAGUGGGAAACGAUGUGGGAAGGCAUAGACAGCCAGGAUGUUGGCUUAGAAGCAGCCAUCAUUUAAAGAAAGCGUAAUAGCUCACUGGUCGAGUCGGCCUGCGCGGAAGAUGUAACGGGGCUAAACCAUGCACCGAAGCUGCGGCAGCGACGCUUAGGCGUUGUUGGGUAGGGGAGCGUUCUGUAAGCCGUUGAAGGUGGCCUGUGAGGGUUGCUGGAGGUAUCAGAAGUGCGAAUGCUGACAUAAGUAACGAUAAAGCGGGUGAAAAGCCCGCUCGCCGGAAGACCAAGGGUUCCUGUCCAACGUUAAUCGGGGCAGGGUGAGUCGACCCCUAAGGCGAGGCUGAAAAGCGUAGUCGAUGGGAAACAGGUUAAUAUUCCUGUACUUGGUGUUACUGCGAAGGGGGGACGGAGAAGGCUAGGCUAGCCGGGCGACGGUUGUCCCGGUUUAAGCGUGUAGGGGGUGUGACCUGGUAAAUCCGGUUGCAUGUUAACCCUGAGGCGUGAUGACGAUGCACUACGGUGCAGAAGUAGUUGAUGCCCUGCUUCCAGGAAAAUCCUCUAAGCUCCAGGUAACAUUAAAUCGUACCCCAAACCGACACAGGUGGUCAGGUAGAGAAUACCAAGGCGCUUGAGAGAACUCGGGUGAAGGAACUAGGCAAAAUGGUGCCGUAACUUCGGGAGAAGGCACGCUGGCAUGUAGGUGAAGUCCCUCGCGGAUGGAGCUGAAGCCAGUCGAAGAUACCAGCUGGCUGCAACUGUUUAAUAAAAACACAGCACUGUGCAAACACGAAAGUGGACGUAUACGGUGUGACGCCUGCCCGGUGCUGGAAGGUUAAUUGAUGGGGUCAGCCGCAAGGCGAAGCUCUUGAUCGAAGCCCCAGUAAACGGCGGCCGUAACUAUAACGGUCCUAAGGUAGCGAAAUUCCUUGUCGGGUAAGUUCCGACCUGCACGAAUGGCGUAAUGAUGGCCAGGCUGUCUCCACCCGAGACUCAGUGAAAUUGAACUCGCUGUGAAGAUGCAGUGUACCCGCGGCAAGACGGAAAGACCCCGUGAACCUUUACUAUAGCUUGACACUGAACAUUGAGCCUUGAUGUGUAGGAUAGGUGGGAGGCUUUGAAGCGUGGACGCCAGUCUGCGUGGAGCCAUCCUUGAAAUACCACCCUUUAAUGU